This 46-nucleotide non-coding RNA is filed under the name zebrafish metagenome. RNAcentral describes it as "serC leader". It matches the Rfam family "serC leader", at positions 3 to 47 of the family's 52-position model. From Rfam's summary of the family: This family is a putative regulatory RNA structure that is found upstream of the serC-serA operon in some alpha-proteobacteria. The final stem of the structure overlaps the ribosome binding site of the serC reading frame. The record is from RNAcentral.
CGCGGGACACCUCCCCCCAACGGGAGGCGCCCAUCUGAAAGGAUGG